Molecule: long non-coding RNA, 1960 nt
Filed under: Capsicum annuum
Lineage: Eukaryota; Viridiplantae; Streptophyta; Magnoliopsida; Solanales; Solanaceae
Description: long non-coding RNA (CANN_LNC020283)
Source: RNAcentral
AUUAUGAAGUCAUUUAAUGAAGGGUAAAUGUCACGAUCCAAAUGGCCAUGAGUGGCAUCUAUACUAAUCUUUCUAUGGGAGAACCAGCUAACAAAAUCAUUUCCCAACCACUUAGUCAAUGUUAAGAUGAUACUAUCAUAAAACUAAUAUAAUAACAAUAAUUCAAAUCUAAUCAUUAUUAAUGCGGAAGUCAAACAAACUACUUACUAAAAUUCCCAAGACCCGUAAAUGUAUAAAGAAUGUUUCAUUGUCCGAAAGAUGGACAAGAAUAAAUAAGAUGACCCAUGGCAGUUUGGAGACGGAGCGCUCACCCUUGGAUCAACAUCUUCUAUCAAGCUUUAGAGGUGAGGUCAUGUCUGAGCCCCUAGAACACUUUCUGCACUCAACAAAAGAAGAGUACGGGGUAGUAUCAGUACAAACCACUAUGUACUGGUAGGUAUCAUAGGCCAACUCAAUUUAAUAGCAUGUACACAACAUAAAUCAAAUAACAAAUAGACAAGUAUCAUCACAUAACAAAUAUUCAAUAAAACAACAAUAUAACAACAGGUCAAAUAGUGCCCACAAACAAGUCACUUAACCAUCAAGAGUAUCAACCGCACUGUAAAAUCCACAGAAUCAAUAGAAAUAUGUACACACAUGCUGUGACACUUAUUUUUGCCAGAAUAGUCAUGACCUUCAGGGAACAAUCUAUGUUCAUGUACCGUUCUAGUGUGGUACUCGAUCCAACAUAUAUAUAUCCAUACCGACGUAGUACCCGAUCCAACAUAUACAUCUCCAUACCAGUGUGGUACCCGAUCCAAUAUAUACAUUUUUGUACCAUCGUAGUACCCGAUAAAACAUAACAUAUUCGCACUGGCGUGUUAGCCGAUCCAAUAUAUACAUAUCCGUACCGGCGUGGUACCUGAUCCAACAUAAAUAUAAACGUACCGGCGUGGUACCUGAUCCAAUAUAAAUAAAAAUAUAUCGGCAUGGUACCCGAUCUAACAAAAAUAUAAACAUAUCGGCGUGACACCCGAUCCAACAAAAAUGUAAACGUACCGGCGUGGUACCCGAUUCAACAUAAACAUAAACAAGUAUUAUCAAUAUCAAUUUACACAACCUCACAGCAUACAAAAUAAUGUAGCAAUAUUACAAGUACACUUAAGUCAUAAGACAAUUCCAUCAAGUCAAUUUUCAAUAAAUAUUUACACACGAAUCAUCAAUCCAAACAUCAAUAAUUUCAAACAUGUAUGAAUACCAAUCCACAAGUAUCCAAUUUAGGAGCAUACACAUAACUAAGUCGAGUUUAAACUCCAAUUAAACCGUAACCAACCUCAACCGAAGAACUCAAUAUCACUAGUCCACAAGUGUCUUGUCCUUUCUCAAAUUUUUGGAACGCUCAACAUCUCUUCUAACAUAUAAUCCUCUUAAGAAUACAAAUUUUGUAAUGCCCAUUAUAAAUUCUUACUUUAAAAAUCCUACGACUAAACCUUAAUAUAUCCAAACAUAAUAAUUAUUUUUAUACUAUAAAUCAUCACUUUUGAAACUAACAACGAAACACCAACACCACUUUGAUAUUCAUGAAAAGCUAAGAAAAUAGUCAACAGUGGCCUGUGCUACUUUUGAAUGCAUGAAAGAUUAAUAAAUCAGCCAGCAACGGCCAUUGUAAUUUCAUGGAAAAAGUGAAUUCAAGUAAUAGUGGCCUGCACCACUUUGACUUCAUGAAAACUUAAUUUCAAUUUGCCAACCAUGGCUACUUUUUCAUUACAAUUCCUUGAUUAGGUCAUCACCUAAUCAUCAAUUUGUCCUGUAGCUAUUUAUUUAGAAUUACAAGGAAUUAAUGAUUAAACAACACUAUGCAGUACUAUUUAACACCAACAUACGAUUGUAAAAAAUUUAACCUUGCCUGAAUUAUACUGCGUAAGAAAAUAGAGAAACCUCAAGUUGCGCCUCUUCCCCUGACUUACUGAUUAUAUUUCUA